GGUUGACCUCGGAUCAGGUAGGGCUACCCGCUGAACUUAAGCAUAUCAAUAAGCGGAGGAAAAGAAACCAACAGGGAUUGCCUCAGUAACGGCGAGUGAAGCGGCAAGAGCUCAAAUUUGAAAUCUGGCUCCUCGGGGCCCGAGUUGUAAUUUGGAGAGGAUGCUUCGGGCGUGGCCCCUAUCUAAGUGCCCUGGAACGGGCCGUCAUAGAGGGUGAGAAU
RNAcentral lists this ribosomal RNA (221 nucleotides) under Talaromyces variabilis. RNAcentral describes it as "partial 28S ribosomal RNA". It matches the Rfam family "Eukaryotic large subunit ribosomal RNA", at positions 1 to 219 of the family's 3401-position model. Lineage: Eukaryota; Fungi; Ascomycota; Eurotiomycetes; Eurotiales; Trichocomaceae. RNAcentral also lists the same sequence under 1 other name. The record is from RNAcentral.